RNAcentral lists this non-coding RNA (45 nucleotides) under Cinara cedri. It matches the Rfam family "Histone 3' UTR stem-loop". From Rfam's summary of the family: The mRNAs of metazoan histone genes lack a poly-A tail. 3' end processing occurs at a site between a highly conserved stem-loop (modelled by this family) and a purine rich region around 20 nts downstream (the histone downstream element, or HDE). The record is from RNAcentral. Lineage: Eukaryota; Metazoa; Arthropoda; Insecta; Hemiptera; Aphididae.
AAAACGGCCCUUUUCAGGGCCACCAAUAAUAACUGCUAACUGUGU